GACGAACGCUGGCGGCGUGCCUAAUACAUGCAAGUAGAACGCUGAAGAGAGGAGCUUGCUCUUCUUGGAUGAGUUGCGAACGGGUGAGUAACGCGUAGGUAACCUGCCUUGUAGCGGGGGAUAACUAUUGGAAACGAUAGCUAAUACCGCAUAACAAUGGAUGACACAUGUCAUUUAUUUGAAAGGGGCAAUUGCUCCACUACAAGAUGGACCUGCGUUGUAUUAGCUAGUAGGUGAGGUAAUGGCUCACCUAGGCGACGAUACAUAGCCGACCUGAGAGGGUGGUCGGCCACACUGGGACUGGGACACGGCCCAGACUCCUACGGGAGGCAGCAGUAGGGAAUCUUCGGCAAUGGGGGCAACCCUGACCGAGCAACGCCGCGUGAGUGAAGAAGGGUGUCGGAUCGUAAAGCUCUGUUGUAAGUCAAGAACGGGUGUGAGAGUGGAAAGUUCACACUGUGACGGUAGCUUACCAGAAAGGGACGGCUAACUACGUG
Molecule: ribosomal RNA, 497 nt
Filed under: uncultured bacterium
Lineage: Bacteria
Description: partial 16S ribosomal RNA
Rfam family: Bacterial small subunit ribosomal RNA
Source: RNAcentral